CCUACGGGAGGCUGCAGUGGGGAAUAUUGCACAAUGGGGGAAACCCUGAUGCAGCGACGCCGCGUGAGUGAAGAAGUACUUCGGUAUGUAAAGCUCUAUCAGCAGGGAAGAAAAUGACGGUUCCUGAUUAAGAAGCUCCGGCCAAAUACGUGCCAGUAGCCGCGGUAAUACGAAGGGGGCAAGCGUUAUCCGGAUUUACUGGGUGGAAAGGGAGUGUAGACGGCAGCACAAGACUGGAGUGAAAUGCCGGGGCUUAACCCCGGAACUGCUUUGGAAACUGUGCAGCUAGAGUGCAGGAGAGGUAAGUGGAAUUCCAAGUGUAGCAGUGAAAUGCGUAGAUAUGAGGAGGAACACCAGUGGCGAAGGCGGCUUACUGGACUGUAACUGACGUUGAGGCUCGAAAGCGUGGGGAGCAAACAGGAUUAGAUACCCCUGUAGUC
RNAcentral lists this ribosomal RNA (440 nucleotides) under uncultured bacterium. RNAcentral describes it as "partial 16S ribosomal RNA". It matches the Rfam family "Bacterial small subunit ribosomal RNA", at positions 338 to 795 of the family's 1533-position model. The record is from RNAcentral.